Molecule: ribosomal RNA, 496 nt
Filed under: uncultured bacterium
Lineage: Bacteria
Description: partial 16S ribosomal RNA
Rfam family: Bacterial small subunit ribosomal RNA
Source: RNAcentral
GAUGAACGCUGGCGGCGUGCCUAAUACAUGCAAGUCGAGCGAACAGACGAGGAGCUUGCUCCUCUGACGUUAGCGGCGGACGGGUGAGUAACACGUGGAUAACCUACCUAUAAGACUGGGAUAACUUCGGGAAACCGGAGCUAAUACCGGAUAAUAUAUUGAACCGCAUGGUUCAAUAGUGAAAGACGGUUUUGCUGUCACUUAUAGAUGGAUCCGCGCCGCAUUAGCUAGUUGGUAAGGUAACGGCUUACCAAGGCGACGAUGCGUAGCCGACCUGAGAGGGUGAUCGGCCACACUGGAACUGAGACACGGUCCAGACCCCUACGGGAGGCAGCAGGAGGGAAUCUUCCGCAAUGGGCGAAAGCCUGACGGAGCAACGCCGCGGGAGUGAUGAAGGUCUUCGGAUCGUAAAACUCUGUUAUUAGGGAAGAACAAAUGUGUAAGUAACUAUGCACGUCUUGACGGGACCUAAUCAGAAAGCCACGGCUAACUACGU